UGUUUCGGCUAGGGGGCCAUCCCGGCUUACCAACCCGAUGCAAACUGCGAAUACCGGAGAAUGUUAUCACGGGAGACACACGGCGGGUGCUAACGUCCGUCGUGAAGAGGGAAACAACCCAGACCGCCAGCUAAGGUCCCAAAGUCAUGGUUAAGUGGGAAACGAUGUGGGAAGGCCCAGACAGCCAGGAUGUUGGCUUAGAAGCAGCCAUCAUUUAAAGAAAGCGUAAUAGCUCACUGGUCGAGUCGGCCUGCGCGGAAGAUGUAACGGGGCUAAACCAUGCACCGAAGCUGCGGCAGCGAACGUAUCACUUAAAGCGAUUCAGCGGGUUACGAUUGACGGAGCGAAGCGACGUCAAAGCGUAUACAAAGUCGAGUCGGUUUAAGGAUACGUUCGUUGGGUAGGGGAGCGUUCUGUAAGCCUGUGAAGGUGUGUCGUGAGGCAUGCUGGAGG
This 453-nucleotide ribosomal RNA is filed under the name Salmonella enterica subsp. enterica serovar Corvallis. Its description in RNAcentral is "partial 23S ribosomal RNA". It matches the Rfam family "Bacterial large subunit ribosomal RNA", at positions 911 to 1279 of the family's 2925-position model. The record is from RNAcentral. Lineage: Bacteria; Pseudomonadati; Pseudomonadota; Gammaproteobacteria; Enterobacterales; Enterobacteriaceae.